Long non-coding RNA from Monomorium pharaonis (pharaoh ant), 25512 nucleotides. RefSeq lists it as uncharacterized. The transcript is spliced from 2 exons. The record is from RefSeq and is a predicted model, not a curated record. Lineage: Eukaryota; Metazoa; Arthropoda; Insecta; Hymenoptera; Formicidae.
UAUUUUAUUGUUAGAGAAUUUCAAAAAAAAAAACUUGCAUUGUGGCUUCUUUAAAUAUUUAUCAGUGAAGACAAUAGUUACAUUUCAAUCAAGGCUUUCGGCCAAUCGACCCCUUCCUUUCUGAAAUUGAAAACAGAGAGAAAGAGAGAGAGAGAGAAUUCGGUAAAGCUCAGUUAAUUUUACCUAAUGUUUGUGGGCGCGACCUUAAAUUAUUCUCGGCGCUUCAACCUGCAGACACGCGGCGUGUUUUGCGCGCUCGGGGAAUCGUUUCGCGAACACAUCAACGAACGAAUUUUUGGAUCGCGGACAGCGUCACGCGAUUGUUCGCGAUCGAGGGAUCAUACAUCGUGCGAUCGCGCACGAGGGACAGCUGCGGCGGAGGAUACAUUCCGCCUGGCGAUUCACGAACGGAGGUAGGCGUCGGACGUGGGCGCGUAAGCCCGUUCGUCGAUUUAAAUAUUUAACUCCGCUUUAAACGCCGGCGGAGAACGGCACGGCCACCACCAGCACCAGCACCGCCAUUAUUCGCGAGGUAAUAAUUCCCGCCGGUUGGGUAAACGCGGCCACGGGAAAAUUAGCCGGUCGUGAAUCAUCCCGGUCGGUACCGGCGAAUCGCCCCCCCUUAAAUUUUUAGCGAUGGCGGCGCGCGAGAAGACGGAGGAAAGUUCCGUGUAUUCGAUGAAUAAUUGAGACUCCGCGUGAAUUCUAUUAAAAAACGGGCGGAAUUCCGAAGAGUUGAAAUUCGAUCGAGCCACGGUCGGCGACAGAGUCGUAUUUCGUCGGACAAAAGUAACGUGACUUUGCGGGGAGGAGGAGCAAGAUUCGAUCGUGGAUGCGCAAAGGUAUUGCACACCAAAAGAAAUUAAUUCCUGAAUUAUCGCAUUGUCGAUUUAUAUUUUUCAGAAGUCUCUCCUAUCACGCUGGACGCACGUUAGACGAACUGAUAUAAUUAAAUCGGUCAUCCAUUCAUAAUAUAUAUAUUAUCACGUAUAUUAAAAAUAACUACUAAUAACCUGAAGAAUCCACGACAGCUCUAUUAUAUCUUUGCUUCGUUGAGUCAUCAGUUUUGUCUAAUGCUUAUCGCGGAGAUAAGCGUGGUAAACUGACGCUUAAAAAAAAUUGCGGUCGUCAUCCACGUCUGAAGGACGAGACUGACCGCUCGAACCUUUCCGAGUUUCACAAUUUUCUCCUAAGAGGCCCUCGUCACGGUUGCCCCGACCUUCCGCAGUUGUCGCCAGGUAGAUGUCGAAUUACGUUCUCACGUAGCUCGGCGGAUAAUUGAAAUUGCACGCGAGCCAAGAAACCGAGUGCCCGACGAGAAGGCCAACAUCGAGCAGAGAGACGACGAAAGGUAGCAGGAAUCGUUUCCACCGUCGCGCGCUGUUGCUGCUGCUGCUACCGCUGAUACUUAAACCACUUGCCAAAGUUCCCCACCAUCGCGGAAACUCAUUCAUGGAUCGCGACCAUUCCGGCUCUUAUUGAGUCGACGACGACGACGACGACAACGUAACGCGCAGAAAUAUCGGUGUGCCGAUACACAUCAGCCGUUUCAAACGACGCAAUCACGGCAGGUUUUAAUCUGAUGGGCUACUUUUACGUGUAUAACAUUUCGAGCACAUAAAAAUAAUUUGCAGCUCGCUGGUAUCACAAGCGAGAGAAGGGAAGUUUCUGAAAGAUAUGAAUCGACAAGAAACGGCUAAUAAAUCAAUAUGCAUUAUGUAGAAAUAAGAAAAGGAUGUGUAAGCUAAAUUUAUGUUAUAUUUAUCUAUAACGUAAUGUAUAUCGUUACAGAUUAAUCAGUUUCUCGGAUGAAUAACUAUUAGCUAGCAGGUAAUAAUUAUGUGUUUAACUUUCAAAUACCGUUAGCAUCUGUUACUCAAACGUGAUCACUUGAGAAAAUAUGCAACUUUUUCCCCAUGGAUUCUAAUUUGCGGCCAGGAAGAGCGCGACGUGAAGAUAUUCUAUUCCUCAUAGAAAAUCACUUCUUCGAGAGUAAGAGAAUACAGGCUAUAAUUAUGUGGCCACUACGUGUGAGUUUCGGGGGAGGCCUUAAGGGCUGGACGGAUCCGCCUUUUAUUUUGACAGUGAGUAUUCUGCUCGCGUGUAAAACCGCGCGACGUCAAGCCGCCGCCGCCGUCGUCGUCUUUCACUUGGAAGGCAUACUCGACUAUUUUAGCCGCGAAAUAACUCAGUCAGAGGGUUCAGUCGGGAGAAUCACGAGGUACAGAGGGAACAAGAAGAGAGAAAGCGAAAGAGAAGUAGAUACAGAAGAUGGAAAGGGAUAGGCUGCGAGCGCGCCAUGAUAUGCGAGUCCUAAAGAUAGAGCACCCGAAACAACCAUGAACCUUUUUAUUUCACCCGCCAACGUGCGUUUCUACAGAGACCUGCACCCCCUCCCCCCACCUUCCCCUUAUAUGUUUGCCGGCGCCUGUUUUCCCUCUUUUUCGCUCUCCCUUCUUUUUUUUGCAAUAAACCCCCCCCCCCCCCCGGGGGGGAUUAUGCUCUUCUCUUGUGCCGGCGUCGUCGUCACGGUGCAUUAUACUAUAAUUCGUCGCAUUUCGUAAUUUCGUCCGCACUCUAUGAGUCCGCGCUCUCCGUUAAUGCCCCCUCUUUCCAGAUGGAGCAAUUAGCGUUACAACUUAACAGCCGGCUCGAACGUGACUUCAAUUACGACCAAGUUGAGAUUAUUCGAUUCCGCUCGCCGAGCGAUACUCAAAGAAGGCCAAUUAUAUGUCGCUAAUUACCGUUCGUUUUACUAACAAAAGCUCGCGUAUCGAUAUGAUCAUUAAUGACGUUCGAUGUGAUUGUAAAUAUGACGCUCGUGUAAAUUCGUCGCGCGAGUAAACAUCUUCCGUCCAUAAAAGUUUGAAAAUACGAUUAAUCUGAUGGCGCGAGGUAAAAGUGCUUUCGUCGAACGAACUUAUUCCCGCACGGACGACUCCGUAGUUUUAUAAGAUUCAUUACAACGGCUACUUUUGUAGAGAGCCCUCUUAAUUACCGCCUGUAGCAAUUAUCGGGUCUCGUAAUCGGGCGAUCGAGAUAUCGACUAACUUUCGUUAACUAUCGCGUUUAAAGGGAUAGUCCAUUAGCCAAGAAAAUUUCUUCAUUUUAAGACCAUAACAUUGUCAAAUUUAUAAUUGCUUUUCAACAAAACCGCAAACAUUGUUUCUCCAUUUGCAUGAAAGUGAUGGAAUUAAUUCCCUUUUCUAAUCUAAUUCCACAAAGUGGAUUUUGUGUGAUACACUCAGACUUUUCUUUAGACAAAAAUAGAACGCAAAAGAAACUUUCCAUUAAAAUGAAUUUUAAAAAAAAUUGAAUUCAAUAAUAAACCUAUUACAUCUGUUUCUUAUUAAUAUUUAUCAAAAUAUUAAUAAAUAUUGAUAAUAAAUUUAUAAUACGCGCAAAAAGAAAAUUGUUAAAAAGUAUAAUAAAAAUCGAUUUACAAAGUAUACAAUUACAUUUUAAUUAUUCAGCCAUGAGAAAAACGAAAAGAGAACUGGUUUAUAUUUAAAGAUAAGGAAAAAACUUUAAAAAGCGUAGACGCGAAUGUUAUUCGUCGUUGUCGAAAAAUGGAUCCUAUCAAGUGGCGGACGUAUUUAUCAUACACGAAAUGGAAUAUGGAGCAACGACGGGGACACGAUAUAAAUGGCAAUCGGCCAGACUGUAUCGAGCGAGAUUGUCAAAGUCGAUUACACAAAGGAUCGCGAUCAUCGUAGACACCGUCAGCAGUUUAUCGAGUAUCGCCACUACGUUAAAAUCCAAUUAGAGACUGUCGUCGGAGUUUACGAAACGGUCGUCGCGCGACGUUAUGAAAACAAGCGGAAGUAGUAAUUAUAGGUAAACCAUAAUCGGAUAUAUUUCAUCGGAUUUAAAGAUUUUCUAAUGUCGAAUAUAAAUGGCUGCGACCGACGACAACGGAGAUGCCAUUAAUCGUUAAUCUACCGCUUGACAUUCCCAUGAAAGCCAAUUACGUCCAGCCUCGGAAUCACGUCGAAGAGAGACCGCUUGUACGAGGAAAAUUACUUUUCACUACGCGAUGCAUAUAGAAUUUAAGUUGAAUAAUAAAGUUAUCAAAAAGUACGCCAUGCUGCGUUCUCUUUUCCUUUUGUUUUUGAAAGAUUCUUAUAUAAAUUUAAUACAUAAUUUAACAUAUAUUUUAAAUGUAAAAUAAUUUUUUUUAAACAUGAUAAUUGUAGUAAAAAAAAUUAUCAAAAUAUAAAUUUCAUUGAAAGUCGUUCAUUGUUGAAUCAAUAAGAAAUUUUUCAACUCGAUUAACAAUGCAAAAUUCAACCGCCCACAAUAAGAAAUUUUCUCAAACGGAUGCGUGCAUUUCAUGCUCACAGUUAGGCUUGAUCACUGUCGUUAUUAUGAAAUAUAGUCGUCGUUAUAUCGCUUGAAUGACGUCACGCAGGUGCGGCCACGAAGGUACCAUGUGCGUUUCACGUUCGCUUUAACAAGUGACUUCAAAACCUAUAAACCCGCGCCACACAGAGAUCGGGCCGCGUUAAGUAACGAUUAUCCUAUCACACCGAUCACCCAGUGGAACAAAAAAUGCAUUCGAUUUGCCGCACUACUAAUUAUAAAUGAAAGUAAUAAUUUGUACGAUCUAUUGCAACGGUAGAUUGACUCGUAUGAACUCCGGGACGCCGGUAUAUUUUUAUCAAAUCUGUAUCUUCUCACUAAUCUUUAUAUAAUCGUAUAUAAUAAUAAAUUAUAAUAUGUAAAAUGUGUAUGAUAUGUAGAAUGUGUAAUUACAUAGUAAUUGUAAUAAGUUAUAUAUAUAAUUAUAUGGCAUCACUUGAUCCAAUGUCGUACUAUAUAUAAUUCCAGAGAUUAUACAGCAUCUUAUGCUUUUGGAAAAAUAGAAACGUCUAUGAAUAAACUGCUGAAUAUUCCAUUCUAUUUCUUUAGGAUAGUUCCCUAACACAAUGGCAAGGAGAUAAAAUAAAACUAAUACCGAAUUUAUCUUGAGAUAAGAGAAGUCAGAAGUCAAUAAAGAUUACAUUUAAAGAACGCGUGAUAUUAUAUUUAUUAUAAUAAAUAAUAACGAAUACGUUCGCGUGAAAAUGAUCGCGCUAGCGGUCAUCGGAUUUUCGUACGACCGAGAGGCGAGUGCUUCUCGACGGCAGUGUACUCGACAGCAACCCGUUACAUCUUACGGCGUAAAGAAUAAGUCUACGGAGCUGCAUCUCACAUCUGUCGUGCUCCCUCCCCUCCCGCCUUCUCCCUUCGUGCUUGCACAGCCACUCUUUCUCCCUUUCUCCGUCAUGCUGCAUCCUACGGAUCACGAGUGAGGAGGCACAAACCGGCCCGCCACACACACAUACACAUCCGUAUGCACACAUAAAUGUACAUACACGUACGUAUAUACGUGCACUUAUGUUGCGUGAACUCAUCGAGAUGGAGCUCUAAGAGAAAGAUAAUAGAACAAAAAGAGCAAAGGGGACAGAGGAAGAAAGAGAGAGAAAGGGAAAGAGACAGAAGAGGGGGCGUCGAUCGAGAAGCUACUUGACUGGUUGACCCCGGGGGAGCCGGGGAGCCCCCUUUAUGUCAAUUUCUCGUUAUACCGCGGCGCUCCUUUCGCAGUGAUGCGGGAAGGAACUGCGCAGCGUCAUGCGGUACUUAGUUACAGGCAACGGAGAUUAAUUUUAACGCGAUAAGAGAAGAGGGGAAUAACGGAUAAUCGUGCGAGAGACGGCAAAUAAUUUUGCCCGAAAACGAUCGAUCGUUGAAGACGACGACAACACCGACGACGACGCCGACGACGCCGACGACGAAGACGACGACGACGACAACGACGACGACGACGUCGACGGCACCGGCGACGACGGCGCGGCCGUAUCGUCUCUUCUCUCCGAGUGAUUUACUUCUUCUUAUUGGAGGCCCGAAGAUAGAUCGUGGAAGCGCGGAAGAGGUCCAGGAUGAGGAAGGGACGGCGGCGGGGGAAACGAAGGAGACAGAAUAAAAUAGAAAGAGACAGGGUGUGUGAUAGAGGGAAAGGGAGCUAUAGAUGCGCCGUCUCUCUGCAUCUUCCUCCUCGUCGCCUUCCUUUGUUCCCACGCCACUCUCCGGACCCUUCUCAUCCCCCUCCCUCCUUCUCCUCCUCCUCCUUCUCCUCCCUCUUCUUCACUCGCGGUCGACCUGGCCCCCUCGCCCUUUCGUGAUUCACCGUUACACACAAAGGGGAGCUCGGACUUUUGGUGUAAGCGGAUGAGAGGGAACGAGAAGCGGAGAGGGCAAGAACGAGAAGAUAAAAAAGAGAGCAGAAAGGCAUCGCGCGCCAUAGUUCCAGGAUGAGCCAGGAUGCUUCGCACAGGUUCUUUCAUGGAAGAAGACGCGGGGCUUGAAAUCGAGAGGCAAGAAUGAAGCUCUCUCGUGCCGUCGUGGUCCUUCAGAGCGUCCUCGAUAUAUACCGGAGCGAACUGAGAGAGCGCGCGCGGAAAGGAGAAGAGCCUUAUAAAAUCGCCAUUCUCCACGCGAAAAACCGAUCCUGGCACAGGAUAAUCGUUCGACAAGUCGAUUAGCGUGGGAGAACGACGAAGUAGGGGACCAUUCGUUCAGUUCUCAAAGACGCAAGGGAGAAAAAUGUGAUACGCGAGUUGUGGAUAUUUCUAAUCCUAAAAUAAGAUCCUCGAGUACAUAAUAUAUAAAAAUAAGCUAUACACAACAUAACAAUACACAAACGCGUUAAAAUUUAUUAUUUUUCUCUAAAAAAAAAAAAAAAAAUUGAAAUAUCUGUAGCGCGAGAUCUCUGCUUCACCCUGAUAAAUAAAGUUUUAACACUUGCGUGUCCAAGAACAAGAUUUUGCCCGAUUACACGAGUUAAUUAUAAAUGCGUGCUUCCGGAGCUCCUCAAUCAUGACAUCGACAAAUUCAUCGCAGCAACAAACAGCGAAAACAAAGGAAGGCAAAGGGGAAAAUGGCGGCUCGUAAGAGGAGAGAAGAAAUCGAGUAAUGCAAGGAGUAAUCGCGCGGAAGGCACGCGAGGGAAAAGUCCGUUUGCAGGACGUGGCCCUUUCGGGCUGCAUUUCCAAGCUACGGAGAGAAUAAAGCGAGACGAUGGUCCCACCGGAUAAAUUGACCGGUAGCCAGGGACAAGGGAUAAGGGACAGCCGCCGACGGGGGAAGGAGGGUAGCGGUGGACGAGAGGUGCGAUCGCAGGGGGAGAGGGACCGCGGCGUCGUCGAAGUGGCGAGGGAGAACCUCGGGGCGGAGAAGAGGAUACCGUUCCGUUCCCUGAGAGUACGCGAACGAUAAUUCGGAGCCGCGCGGGCAGCUCAAAGGACCCGCGGGACGAUAUAUCAAUGCCCUGCUUGCGGAACAAUUUCAACUAUCCGCGAUAUACAAAGAAAAAUACCAAAUCGAAUGCCCGGAAUAGCAGCGAGCGAACCCCCCGUCCGACCCCCUCGUGGCCUUCCUCCGUCGCGCUCUCCUUUAUAGACACUCGAUGCACCCCUUCUUCCCCUCCAUCAUGUUCUCUCUCCCUUUCUCUCUCUCUCUCUCUCUCUCUCUCUCUUUCGGUAGAGACGUUCAUGCUGGACUUGCUGCAAUGCCAAUGGACUACCACGGACUCUCUUCUCGGAUCUCUCGAGAGCAUUCGCUCGUGCUCGCGCGCGCGCGCGUAUAUGUGUGUGUGUGCGUACGUACGACGUGCACGUGUGUGCGAGCGUAAUCGGGAAUCCGGGAGAGAGGACCUACCUAUCGACGGGGAAUAAAUUAACGAGCUGCAGGAAACUCGCAAAUGUUCCGUGGGAAGACUCUUCGAGGGAACGGGCGGCGACGGUGCGGGAGGGAGGGAGCUCGUUUCCGGCGGGCGGAGGAACAAGAAACGCUCCUUCGCGCGGUGUCCCGAAAUGCGAAUUCGAUUGGGCGAAACCGCAAAAACUUUUUAUUCGAGAUUUAUUAUUCAUAGCACAGGCUUUUGAUAAAUGCGCGGUUUCGAGAAAGAAUAAUGAACGCCGUGGAUGAUCGAAAAAGAAGCGGAAAGGGGGCAAAAAGCAUUCCGUUUUAUCUCGUAAAUUACAAUUUCUUUAAAUUACUGAAACAAUUAGACAAACAAGAUUUUUAAUUCGUAGGUUUCGUAUUAACACGUAAAAAAGUAUUAAAAUUAAAUUUCUAAAUGUUACACACGUGUGAAAUAUAUCAUCAAAUUGUUUACUGUAAAAUUCCACUCGAGGAUUAACGGUCGUGCAUUAACAAUAUCGUAACGUGUUACGAGAGAAUCAAUAAUAGAUUUGCAAAAUAAAAUCUUUCGCGCGCGCAAAGUAACAGAUGCGUAGCGUAACGUUUAAUAAAGCGGAACGUCUUACUUAAAUCAUUAAUCAACGGCACGGAUGACGCAGAAUAUAUGAGCGAUCGAGUGGUUCAACAUAUGGACGAGUUUCUUUUUUUUAAUUCAACGAUUGAUCAAUCGCAUCAUGCGCAAAUGCAUCCUUUACAGGGCAAAGUUGCAUUCGCGCACGAUGCAGCUGAUCAACCGACAAACAAAAAGCGACUCGCCUUAUAUGUAAACGCUCCUAGCAACAACACUAAUCGCAUUUAUAAAUAAUUAUUAAUUAAAGGUGUCCAUCUAUAUAUUUAUUUUCGUCUCGGAAGUUUCUUCUCGCGAGGUGUCCUUUUUUUUUUUAUGUAUCAACCAUCUAACUCCUCGGCAAGAAUACAAUUUUCUCAAUGCAUAUUCCGCCUUCCCCGACUUUUCAAUUACGCUCAGAGACCAAAGUUAUCACGUCGGCCCCCGUCACUGCACCGCCGCUCGUCGCCUCGUAUAGCGAACGCGCGACGAUGACGAGCGUCGAGAAGCGGCGAGGCGGCGCGGCUUCACUCACGUCGUAUCUGGCGCACGGCGCGAGCUAUAUGUCAAUCGGUUGAUGGAGCGGCGGUUUGGUUAUAAUUGGAUCAGUUUAGUUAGGUAUUGCAAAUAUUGGCAGCCAGGGAAGCUGCCGACCCAGUGAUGAAACCUAAUUGGGUAAGUCGGUCUGGCUUCGCGCCAAACGAAGCCGGGGGCCGCGCCGCCCGGCUUCGAAUUCUAGAUACCCCGGCAUGAUGUGAUUCGCCUUCCGCCCUGCCGCCGCUUACUCGCUCGUCGGAUCGAAGGCGCGGAAUUGACACGUAAAUACAACGAGUUCGGGGAUUCGUGAAAAUGGAAGUGGACGCGAGAUAGGGAAUUCGUUUCGGAUCGACCGGUUUAAUUGGAGCGUCGUGGCGCGUCCCAUCGCGUCGCGUCGCGUCGCGUUGCGUCGGGACGCGACCACACGCGACGGCGAAAUUGCAAAUCGCGGUGAGGUGAUUCAGUCGGGACAGUCAGUCAGUCAGCCGGCCGAUCGGACGGAUUGUGCGAGCUGCUACUGUUCGCGCUUGAGAAACAAACGUGUUAUUCGCGUUUGGUAAACGAUUACGGACAAGGUUCGACAAUAAACGCGUUGAACUCAGAAUUAAAGAAAAAGAAUUACAUAGUAAAACGUGGUAUUAUACACGCAAUUGAAUGCGUAAAGAGACUUUUUUUCAUUUUUAAGAAGAGAACCUUCUAGCAUUUUAAUCAUUUCAAGUUUGAAUAUUUUUGAGAAACUGUACUAUACAUAUAUUAUUUUUGAAGGUUUGAACGAUAUUCCUGAAUUAAAAAAUUAAGUCAAAAUAUAUAAAUAAAAAAAUGGUGAUCUAAUAUGACAAAUCUAAGAAAUAAAAUAUUAAAUUAUUUAUAAAGUUUAUUGCAAACGUUUUUUCUUCUCGCGUUUAUACACGAAACAAAAUAGAUAAGCAAUUCAGCAAAGCUACAUGCUACAUAAAUUCCACAGCUGUAACUAAAGAGAUUUAAUAUUUUAACAAAGAAAUUAUGUCUCAGGAUAAUUAUCAGUAUAUUCAUUAAACAAAUUCUUUGCUAGAAUAGAAAUUAUUAAUGUAUUAUAAAUUUUCUUCAUUGCAGUAAUAAAAGUACAUAAUACUCCAUUUUAGCUCGUAUGUUUUGUUAAGAAUUUCUGUCCAUUUGAUUAAUUUCCGCAGAAAGCUGUCUUGUAUUGACAAGUACAAUGUACUAUUGUAAUAAAUAUAAUUAACUAUAAUUGCUACUUUUAUUUAGCUGUAAAACUUUACCACUUUAACAUAGAAAUCUAUCUGUAUAUAUUACUAUAGAUCUAUUCACUCAACUAAAGAAUUCUUAGUUUUUGUAACAAAAUUUUAUCCGAGUAUCAAUCAAUAGCAUAUUUUUCAAUAGUUGUCAAAAGUUUUUUUUUCCAUCAUUUUUUAAAAUAAAGUUUGAAAAUUUACGCGCGAUUAUACGCUUUAUAUAAUUUCGCGUUACUAAGCAAUUCACAAAUUGCAAAAUUGCAAAAUCCUUUAUUAUAAAAAAAACAGCGUUAUUAUUAAAAAAAAACAGCUUUAUUAUAAAAAAAAUAGUUUCCGUCAGCGCGAAUAUUUAGUACAUGUUCCGCCUAAUGUUAUAUUUGCAUUUUAUCUAUUGCAUUAUACAAAAUGAUUUACGACGUUAUACGAAGGCUAUCGUAAUUUUUUUACUAUGUUAUGCGAACAUCGCAUUAUACCUAGGUUUAUUAUACAAGUAUGCCUCUAUUUACAACGGAAUUACGUUCCGAGACUUCGGUCAUAAAUCGAAUUGAUCGUAAGUCGAAUAUAGCACACAUUUAGCAUUUAUAUUUCAUAUAAAUAAAACAUUAUUCAUACAAAAUAAUAAUUCCAUUACUGAAGAUGAUUAUAGAAUCGUUAUUCAGGAAAUGACAAAACAAAUUUUUAUAAAGAUUAUAAUUUAAAAGUUUGCUAUUAUAAAAUUAAUAUUUAACUUAACCAAAUAAAUUAACUUCACAAAUGAUUAAAAAAUAAUAUUAUUUCUUAUAAAUGUAACCUUAACAUAAUAUAUAUAUUUAAUAUUAUAAAAUAUUAUAAAUUAAAUCAAUAUUUAAUUUACUUAAUUAAUCAUUGAUAACGAGUGUCUAAUCAGUUUUGUUAUAACCUACAAGUUAAUUUUUAGCUAGUAGACUGCCGAUCGUAAGUCUAAAAAUUCGAAGAUCGAAGUAGUCGUACCGUAAGUAGAGGAUGCCUAUAUAGAGAUACUUAUAUAUUCGAAUAUUCUCACAAACGAAUACUACAAUAAGUGAUAGAAAGCCGUUGCGAUAGUUCAACGCUGACAAACACUUGAACUUGAACUAAUUUCGUAAUUUGUGAAUUUAUUUGAGACAUUGCGGAUUACCUAAAUUAUUGCCGGCUCGGUCAGAGUUUCUCGUUCUCACCCGGUCGCGUGGAAAACACUUGCACCGCCUCUGUUUCCCUCCCUCCCUCGCACGCAAGUACUUUCAAAACAGAUGGACACUUUUUUCGGCGCGGGGUGAAUGAACCGAAGGAAAGCGACGUGUUCUGUCGGGGAUGCACCGUGCAUUGUAAACGAGCCGGGCGACAAGUGUGGCACUCCCGGCAAUAGUGUUGACCUUUCGAUGACGCUAAGCCGCCGCCCCGCCGCAGCCCCGGUGGCGCGGGCUCGUAGCUGCCAUUACACGCUCGGCCGACACAACAUGUGGGCUACGUCGGCCGGUGCAUGCCGGGGAGUAACCUCUCGUUUUCAAAAGCGCGCUAAACACCCGGAUAUUUUGCCGAGUGUUCGAGAGCGUGCAGCCGCGUCUCCCAACGCCCGCCGCGCCGCCGCGCUUUGUCACGCGAUUUGUGCACCUCGCGAUUUUCAUGCUCGCCACAAACGAGCGACGAACGACCGGAUUCAAUCGGAUUUCACAAUUUUGACAACAUACGGUAACAAUUAUCUCUCACUAUCUCUCCGGGCAGCGAGCGAAGCGUUUCGAUUGAACGCGGCGAAAUAGUUUUGAAACGGCUAACGAUUAUAUUUUUAUUCGCGUGGAGCACUUCGCGCCGGCUCUCUGAUGUUCAGCUUACAAAGCCACCCCGGGGUCCUCGAUUCGUACAAAAGUAUAAUUAUACGAGUCAACAAAUCGCGCAAUUGAAGGACGACUCGUGAUUUCGCAUCGCUUUGUUUUCGCUCUGCCAAAGCCAAUGAGCCGAACUCUCGUUCGCCGGUGGAGGAUGCUUUUCGUGCGAGUCAAUUAGAAAGAGGGAACGUUAAAUCGUUCGAUUUUCAACCACUCGAGAAUCGCCGACAUGCGACUCUGUCUACUCAAGGUGAGGCUGAUCUCCUGAAGCCGACAUAGUCUCGCGAUACAAUGUUUAGUUGGCCAACGAGAAACUAUUUUUAAAGCGACGACGGCGCGUUACACAAGCGCGCUUGCGACCGCACGCGCGCGUGCUUGCCUUCCGCGCGCGAAACUUUAUUUUUCCUCACGGCGCGUCGUCAUCUCGGCGUGACGUAUUGUCACGGAGUAACUGGAGUAACGUGUCAGGGGAGGACGGGGACGUUCGCAAACGGCGAGCGGAGGUCAGCUACAAGUUCGAGGUUAAUCGUUCGUUUGGCAAGGCUCGCCUGUUGCCGCGCCGCUCUCUAUGGUCCGCCUACGUUACGUAAGCCGGGGCAUCGAGCGCAAUAAUUUUCGCGCCGUGACGUCGCGUGACUUUUUUCCCCUCUCGUGACAAACGGCGGUGAUGUUGACCGCCGAAAAUAAAGCCCCGAGAGAUACGCAUUUUCGUUUGUCCACUUAACAAAUUCGGAGCUGGCUUCUCCUCUCGACUCGGACUAAAUUUUGCCGAUUUAAAACGCAACGCCGAAACAAAUCCGCUGCUGUGAAUCGAAUCAUAUUUUCUCGAGUUUAAAAUUCAAGUUUCUUUUUUUUUCAAGAAGACAAAAUAAGUAACAAUUAUGGGUCAUUUUAAGUUAAAAUAAUUUUCAUUAAUUCGUGUAAAUUUAAUAAUUUGAAAAGCUGUUAAUGUCAAUGUAAGCAGUAAGUAUUAUAAUUUCAAAGAAAAUUAUUAUGUAUUCAAUAAACAAAUUAUGUAUAAGUCCCAAUUAUAGGUUGGUAUAAUUUAAUGUACUUUUUGUUAAUGUCCUUUUUUAAAUACAUGUUAUUAUAUGUUUAAAUGUAUUAAAUAUAACAUACUUAGGGUAUAAUUUCACAAGGUAACUUAUUUAAAAAUAACUUUUCCCUUUUUUCCCUAAAUUAAGCAAAAUUGUACAAUAAUUACACAAAACAAAUUAAAAAAUGUAACACACUUUUCUGCAAUUUUGUAAAUACACGUACACCCAUGUAAAACAAUUUAAUUUUGCUAAAUUUGAUUCAUAAUUAGGACAGUCAUCUUGAUGUAAAAAAAAGCGUAGGAAAAGGUAGCUAAACCGGAUGUAUCUACGGCCGCGUAUGAAGCUUUAUUUCGACAAGUGUUUGGAGAUGUAGGACGCGUCUUAGCGACGCUCGGGACGGAAGAGGAAUGAACGAGUGACAUGCGUGAAAGGGAUGAUGAGCGCUGUGUAUCGAGCACAUACGUACACACAGAUACACGCAGAUAUUCGUCGUGUAUACAUAUGUAUAGGCUGACGGACGAUCACGUGAACGUGAGGGUCCAACGGCUGAUACGGCCCCGAAAUGAAUAAUUCACGAGGAGCGAGCAAGCGAGCGUGGCCACGCGGCCUCCGUCUUCUCCCCCUCCCCCUCCUCCUUCUCCUCCUCCCGACGACGUCCGGGGCACUCCACACUCCACACCGCGAGAAUGGGACGUGGGCCCGUGCAACCUUUACACGGCUAUUACGCGACACGCCGUUAUUAUUCUUCUCUUCAUGCCAAAAUAUUCGGCAUGUACGGACGUCGAAAGGUAGGAAGAUGACAAUUCCCUACUGAAUUUCGAGAAGUCCGAUUCGUGGAGAGAUGAUUCGCGAUUAAUCCCUCACGCUAAAAUUAUUAAAAGACCAGAAGACGCAUUACAAAUGAAAAAAAUAAUUUAAUUACCAUAGCAGUUUUUACGCUGCUGUAGCAAAAUUUAUUAGUUAUGCGGACAGACAAAGAGAUCGUUUAAAAGUGCUAAUUGUAGCACUGAGAAUAAUUUUUAUUUCACUAGAUUUUUCCACUCGAUUAAAUUUAUUCAAUUAUUAAUACAUAAACUUUAAUUUUAGAAAAAAAUUUCCAAAUCUAUAAAAGAAAUACAUACAAAAUUUUGUUAAUGAUAUGCACAAAUAACUCUAUAUUAUCAAUCUCGAUCAAGUUUGACUAUCAGUUUAGCAUCUCCAUAAAAAGUAUUUUAUGUAUUUAAGUUAAAGAAAUUUAAUCAAGUUGAAAAAUUUAGUCAAAUCAACAACAUUUUUUUCUUAGUGAAUUUACUAGAUAUAGCUUUGCUAAAGCUAUAAAAUUAUUCGACUAUAACAAAUUCAAAUUACGAAUCCUUAACCAGCCAAUCAAAGUGAAUUAUGGAUUUAAGCAUAUAUAAGCUCAUUUGUAUAAGCAGUAGUAAUUUUGCUCAAACAGCAAAAGUAUUGGCUAAGAAUAUAUUGUUUUGCUUUAACAGCAAAUUAAUUCUAAAUGCAAAUAUACUCAGCAAAUUUUUUCUAUUUUUAAAAUAAAAUGGACUGUACUGAGGAAUAAUUUUUAAAAUCAGUUAUGUCAACUAAAUUUUGUCUGCCAUUACAAAUAUGCAAAGACAAUUUUGCUGCAGUAGCAAAAUUUUUUUUUCCAUGUACAAUAUAUAUAUAUAUGUAUAUGUAUGAUGUUUGUUAAUAUUGUUAAUCGUGCACACGUCAAGUAAUCAUAAUUCACAAAUACCGAACAUCGAAGAUUUUAAAAGUUAAAUUCUAAAAGCUUUCGCUCCUCGUCUAUUUUAUCUAAAUACAUCGGCUCUUUGAUCGAUGCUUUCGUUCGGUUAUUGGGGGAAUAUAAAUAAAGUCUAUCCCUCGUAUAACUUACAUGUUAUUUAUUGCCUAUUUUUAUUCCAGUUCAAAGUAAAGCCUUGACUAGAGCAACUCACGUAGAUACUAUGUUGUUGCACUACGCAUUUGAUGCAAAGAUUCUCUCUUUAUUUUCGUACGUAAAUCUCCGAAUCUCGUGCUAAAGAAAAAAAUAAUGCGAAACAUGACAACACGAUAUGACAAAAAUAAAAAAAAAGUUAUUAAACUAUCGUUAUAAUGUACAGAAAGUGCAUAAAUAACGUGGAUUGAGCUUCCUCUUUAAAAUCUGUUUUGGACUUGAUUACUGCCAAUAAAGGCCCUGACGAAAAUGAUAAUAAAGAAUGAACCAUCAGCCACAGGAAAUAUUCAUAACUUGUUUCGCGACGUGAGCUCGCAGUGACAAGUCUAACUGACUCGCCGAUGUUGGAAACGUUUAAUCCGACACCGUCCGUGAACCACCAACGCAGCAAGAUAAGGUAUAGUGAAUGAAGGAACUGCUGGAUCAAUGCCGGUUUGACUGAUGAUGAAGCUAAUACAGAUGGUACCGUGACAAAUCAAGCUACGAGCCAACCAGAGACAGGAGAAACAGACGGAGGAAUAUCGGGGGAAAGGAGGAUACAGAUAGGGUAAGCGAAUGUGCCAUCUUGGUGGGGACAUGACGCACACACUAAUGACUGCUGCGUUAAUCUAAUCUGGUCCGGAGACCAAUAAUAACACGCGAAAAUGACACUCUAUAUUCUAGGGUCCGAUUACGAGUCACUUCUUCUCAGAAGUGCGGAACACCGGAAGAGAAAAUAAAGGAAUCUAAGCACACCCAAGUGGUGAUUAUCUUUAGUGCAAUUGGUGAUGUCUGCAGAUGUUGCAAAGAAAUGAAAACAUAUGCAAAGUCUUCAAAAUUUUACAUUAAAAUGUUUCAAUACACAUUUGCUGAUUAACUCCGAUUUACUUUAUUGAUUUUACCCUACGUUUGUUCUCCUCAUUUAGUUUACUAUCUGUCCUUUUCAAGAUUAAUAUAAAAUCAUGAUAGCAGACAUAUAAAAUUCUGGAUCUGCUUUUAAGAAAUUGCAUGAUCGAAUUGCACUGGAAAACGCAGUUGCCGAUUUCAAAAUUGAUAAAAGGCAGCCGUACGUCGGCGUGGACUUCCGUGUAAGCAAAUAAUACAGUAGCUAGUGGCGGUGUAGCGACAGAAGUAACGGACGGCGAUGGCGAGUAACUCUGCGCCGCGCGUGUAUUUUCACAAUCCGAGUUCGCGCCGAGCGCGCGUACAACGGGGUUGUAAUAGCGCGUAAACCCGCUGAUAUUUCGCCAACGCGGUUAUCAUCGGGGUAAUGGUAAUUAAAGCGUUUCGCAUGCGUCGUAUCCGCGCCAUCAAGUAGAUGACCGUCGUAAUUUCGGGACAGUUACUAUCGCGCCGCGCGCGAUUUUGGUGUCGUUCCAAGCUCGUAGGUGAGCGGCCUUCGUGGAACUCGCGAGCGUACCACGCGUGGACAGGAUUAUCGUUUUCACGGUUAACAAUUCCGAGUAAUUCGCCGUUCGUCCCAUUUCGUAUCAAGAUCAUCGCAACGCUUGCGUUAUCCAUAUUAUAUCUGUUAUCUUCGCGCUUCAUAUAUCGUAUCAGGGUGAAAGCUGUAAGGCAAUAUCGAUGCCCAAACUUUAACAAAGGUUCGUUAAAGAAAAGGAAGAAGAAUCGAAUCGCGUUUGAAACUUUGACCGAAGAUUGUACCGGAGAUAAUGAUAAAAGUAAAAAUUUAAAAAGUUAGACGCGCGUGGUUUUGUUUUACUUCAGUCUUGAUACUUGAAGAAUCUAAAAAUUUAUGCAUCUUAUAAUAAUAAUAUAAAAAAAAAAGUAUCUCUUAAUAUACAUACCUGUAUAUGUGAAAAAAAUGAAUCACUUAAUCUUUAACUGGUACAAUUCGGCGGUAGGAAAAGCGUACAAUUGGGUUACUCGGGCAGACCACAACUACACCACUGUUACAAUAGCACCAUUAAAAUUAAUUAAGUUCUAUUGUUGAAGAGCAGAUUUGCAUCUCUAUUUCUUUCGGUCGACUUUAUUCACGUUUCACCUCAUGUUUUACCUAAUGGUGGGAGACGAUACGACACUAGUUUUGUAUUCCGCUGAAUUUAGAUACUUGAAUAUUCUCUGGAUUAAGAGAAAAAGAACAACUGAUCCCAGGAGUCCUCGUGGUGUCGAUCGGUGAUCGGCGAUCGCGGUACACACAUAACCGAAAAUAGCGCUUAUCGAGAAGCUGAUGUAACAUCCGUGUUUACCGUUGGAAAAUUGCCGAGUAAAGAAACAUUGUUUGCCUUGCAGCAUGAAUAUACCCCCCGAAGUCCUCUUAAUUAACCUUGCGGUUUCCGUAGAAAAGUUUCUGACAUGAGGGCCGCGAACAAUGGUCAUUUAGCAUAUCCGCUUGGCACGCGCGAUAGCAAAUCCAUGGAAAUCCGCGCGCCGGUUCGCGGCGAAUUACUUCUACGGGGCGGGGCAAUUUCGUACGCCGCAAUUAAUAAGGGCUUACCGAGAAACUAUGGAACGCAAAUGCACGCGUAAAAGUAUCAGCGUCAAAUCGCAAACUGGUGGUGGUAGAUCGACGGUGUGCGAUAACGACGUCCGUAACGAACUCUUUACUUUUUGCAAGUCUCUCGCGCGCGCGCGCGCACGCGACAUAAGCGGCAGUUGCAUAAAGUAUUACGUAUACAUAAUUGCCCCAAUGCAUAAAAUAUUACGGUAUUUAUAAUUCGAGCACAGUCACGUCGAUUUCUUCGUACCUUUUCGUCGGAUAAAGAGAGAGAGGGGAGAGAGGGGGGGAGAGAGAGAGAAAGAGAGAGACCGCUACCUGUUACAUUUCCAUCGAGGUCGAAAGUUGAUCGUGCACGGAUAUAUACAUGAGCGCGUGUGUGUACACAACGGCGACCCGACAUGCAGCCCGAUGGAUUAUGCAGCGUGCACUUAGAAAGUUCCCCCUCGUCAGCGCGAUUUUCCUCGAUGAACGGUGGCAACAUGCGCCCGUUUUCUUCCAGCCAGUUCCACGAAGCGCGCGCGUAUACGUCAAAGAAGUCUCGACGUGAACUAACGCCGAUAAAACUUCGAAUUUCAGCAGCGCAAUAAAUCGUGCAACGCAAACACGCAAUUGAAAAUCUCGCGAACGAGACAAAUGUCGAAGAUAAAAAUUUCCCGAAAAAAAAGACCCAUUUAAAGAAUUUCAGAGAUUGAAAUGUUUUUUUUUUCCCCACUCGUUCAAUUUUAUUUAUUUGCACCGGAUUUUUUUGCGCCGCAAUUAAAUUCUAAAUGAUUUCAAAACUGCUGGAAACACCAUCCCCGACGAAUUAUUUACCUCAAGAAUCACUAUUGCCACGGGUAUUAAUCGACAUGGUAUUAAGCCCGUGCAAUCCGCAAUUUGAGAUUCGUGGGCGGAUCUCUCGCCGCUCUCACUGUUCAUUAAAACCGGGGGAAACGACGUCGUAAAUGUGCCCACGAAACGUCGGAAUGACCAGAAUACGCUGCAAUUUCUAUUCGGGCGUGUUAAUGCAAUGUCACCACCGCCAUUCUCACCCUCGCCGACGACGACGAGGACGUUCGAAAGGCGACGACGCCGAUAACAAACGUUGAAAGAAGGAAGGAAAUCUCUUGCACGUGCAAAUAAAAUUUAUAUUUGGAAAAAAGGAAAAGAAAUUAGAUAAAGCGAUUGAAUAAGAGUGAACAAAUAAGAAAGAGAGAGAGAGAGAGAGAGAGAGAGAGGUGAAGUGGAGUGAAGAGAAUCCUCGUAAACACCAGGCCGUAACUGUAAAACCCGUAUCCAUCGCGUUUCGCUUACCUCGAUCAAAUUUCCACGUAGCUCGUGCGAAAACACGUUCGCGAGGCAUUAAUUAAGAUGCGAAACGGUACAUGAACCAAAUUUAAUACAGUUUAUUCUCGCAAUAGAAUGCCCAUAUUAUGUUUCUACUCUACCUGAAUCGCUUAGGAUUCUAUUUCCUUGAACGUUAAAUGAAUAUUGCUCAAUAUUAUUUUUACAGAUUAAUUCGUAUGUACAAGUGGAACAAAUUUAAAGAAUAAACUUAAAUAAAUACUAUGAAAGACAACUGAUUUCUACCGAGAUGAAAUUUAUCAUCACUCGCAAAUGAAGGUUUCGCGCGCGCGGGGGGGAAACGGGGGGGGGGGGAGAACGGAAGCAAGAAUUUUCCGCGCGGAGUUCUGUCAGGUUGAAUAGCGAAUCGUGAAUCUACGUUACUCACGGAGACGAGAUGGAAGGAAGGAAGGAAGGAAAAGAACGGAGGGGAGGGGCGGAAAAAGAAGGCGAAGCAAUUUAAUUUUUCUCCCGCGCGCGCGGAAGAUUCUAUAUCGUGCCGGAGGAAGACGCGACGUGUCGCGGUUUAUUACAUUUUUCCUCUCCUACUCAACGAACUAAUGGACCGCUGGAAAUAGUGCCGAGGCUAUAAGCUCCUAUUCAUCCUUGAAAUAAAAUCAGCACCAUCUCGCCGCGCCGGCUGUGCCGUCUCACACUCUUCGACUCUUGGUUUCCCCUCUGGCAAACGUAACCGGGUAAAAUGCGGCAUAACGUUAAGCAUAGAGCGCAGCGCGUAACGACCUAUUAUGUUUUCGCGCGCGUUUUAUAUGAAAUAUUUCAUGUCUAGGAUCUUCAGCGCUAAUUUCUCGAGAAAUAACUGAAACGACUUCAGUUAUAUACAUUCUUCGCGUUUUUCACUCCGAGCAAAUUUAGAGAUUUCAACGGCGAGGGGCAAGAGCUAAUGAAAAAUGUCUACCGCUUUUUAAAACUUUAAAAAAUUCUCUAUAAUAUUACUCUUUUUUUAUAGACGACGUUCCCACCCGCGCAUGCAACUUUUUAAUAAUUUUCAAAUAACGUGACAUCGCCCACCUAAGAGUGACGCAUAUUGCGAGGAAACAGUUUCACAAUAAAUAAAUAGAAUUUACCAGUUUUAUAAAGAGGUUUAUAAAACUUUACACCAAGUCUGCAGAAGAAAACUCCAACUUUCGAAAUCCCACGACCCGGUCGGUGGCCGUGCGUACUACGCCUAAGAGAAAUUAUCUACGAGACAAGGUGAACGACUAAUAAAAAAGAAAAAAAAAGGGAAGAAAAGUAUGACGACUUCCCGCGCCAAGAUAUUUCCAUGGCGUUCGAUCGGAACGGGUCUCGCAUGCGUGUAUUGUACGCGGCGGCGUAACCGCAAGGCACCUUCACAAUGAGGAACUUGUCGAUCGCCUUGGCUGAAUCGCUGACCUCGCGCCGAUCGAGAUCGCCUCCUAGACCGCCGACCGAUACGACUCAUACGAGAAAUCCAUCCAGGCACGACUUCCUAGCAGAUAUUUCAACUUUCUAGUUAACCGGUCGACCUGCCGAUAUACCCCCGGCGCGGUACGUCUGCGGCACGUUAAAUCACGUCGUCCUAAGCGAGCCGAUAAGAGGUGGCCAUUGUACGCGGUAAGAGUCGUUGUUUAUAUCCUUGCGACCCUGCCCCUCGUGCCUACCGUAACGUAGCCUGCGGCGCGGCGUGCCUGCCGAUCCUCUUAGGCUUUCUAGAAAAUAUCAAGCGAUAAUUAGCCGCAACGGAGGAUAUAGGCGGCGGGAUAUAUCGCUCCCGAGGUCGUCGCGGCGAGAAAUCCGCUAUCGAGCGAGAUUUUUUCACGCUCCCAAGACUUUCUAGUCGAUUGAUCCGCGACGCUUAUCCUUCCGCGCGCAUUAAGCUAUACGCGCUGUUAAAAUUAUUUUCAUCGCGCAAUUUCCAUCCGCGAACGCAAGAGCAACCGUACAAAGGGAAAUUACAGUUCGUCUGUUUUUAAACGCGUUUAAACAUGCUUUGCUUGUGAAUCGAAUGAAAUCGCUAUUUAAAAAAAAAAAAAUAAAAAAAAACUUGUUUCUAUUGUACUUCAAUUAAUUAAAAAUUGUAGUGGAUAACCAUUACGGGCACGAUAAAAUGCGCAGAAUAUUACGUUUGAUGAUAAUACACGGAAAUUUGUAAAAUGGUUCUUAGUAAGAAUCGCUUUCAGUCGACGUUUUUAUCAACAUUGAUUGCCUAUCUGCUAUCAUUUUGCUACUUAUCUCGCCUUCUACGUUAGUCGAGCUUUCUACGUAAGCAAUAUUUGUUAAUCACCGGCUUUCUUUUCCAAACAACAACUUUUUCGCGCCGAAUGACAAUUGAAAUGUUUCGAGUUAUAAAGUCUCUCAGAUUUUGUCCCAAGUUAAAAGUAAGAGCGAUGUAACGGUCCCCUUUCUCUUCUUAUCUGCUCGCUUCUGCAGAGGAAUAAUCCCCGCCGGUUAUUCGACCGGCGAGAGAGAUCAAGCGUCUUUGUUAUCGGAGCUUCGAUCUGGACCAGCGUCUGUCGAUCCAUUCGCUCGUUACUCUCGCGGAGUCGUAAAAAGUAUUCCCGCCGGGUCGAGACGAGGGGCGCCAGCCGCUUACGCGGCGACACGCCUCUCGUAUCGAAAACAAUUAUCGUAACGUAAUAUCGCGUCUAUCAUCGUCGAACGACAAUAAAUCUCGACGCACGCACGCACGCACGCAUACGAGGACCGCAUACUUUCCUUUCUCCACCGCGAGUACAUCUUAACCCCUUGCAAUGGUGCAACUCGUAACCUAUAACGAGUUAUCGAAAACGAAACGCGUUACGUCCGUCACUUUAAUUAAAGAGAAAGCUUUUACUCUAUCCACAUCUUACUUUUGUGUUACGAAAUAAUUAUGUUUUCGAGAGAGAAAUUUCAUUCUUAUCCUUCUUAUUAAAACCACUUGAUGAUAACUUUGUGCAAGCUCUUUACAAAAAAUACUAAUAAUAAAUAUAUGCAGAAUGUUUCUGUACAAUGCAACUAUUUUGUAAAAACGUAAUACUGUUUGUUGGAAAUGUAAAAGUUCGAACGAAAGCUAAACCCCGAUGGAAGGUUAAGGAAAUAAUCUUUUUGUUAUAGUGGCCAUACAUCCCUUAUUGUGAAGGACAGUCCUUCAGGCAAUUGCCCUUUAGAUAUAUUUAUUAUUUUUUUUAAUAAACGAAAUUCUUUUCUAACUAACGUUCCAAUGCCUAAUGUACUAACGAGCGAAUUUUUACGAGGAAACAACCGAGAAAUUUAUUAUUCAUUUAAGGACGGCAUUACUUAUCCAAAAUACACUGUGUGCAAGAAAGUGUUAUAAUUACAAACUAACUUGACAACAUAUCGGAACAGUCUUAGUGAAAUUUUCAGGUUUGUCCUUCAUUUACUCUAAAAAAAUAUAAUCACUGUAUACUUAGUCGAUUUACGCGUGAAUUCACAACAAGACGAUGACAAAUAACCCAGUAACACGGUAUAUACCGAGUAUAACGCAAAAUGGCUAAGCAAGACGUGCCUUUGCCUUGUAAUAUAUCUGAAUUACAGUGUAUCGUGCUGCAAAAUGUGUAACCUUUACUGCACACACAUGGGCAGAUAUGGUGCUGCGUCGUGUGUUAGACAAACUGAGGAGGCAUCAAGCCACCGCGUUGGGGCACAAUAUUAUGCGUUUUACGUAUCUGCAAUUGACAUUACACCGAAGGACACGGCACUAAAGAAGAAAUCGAGCAGCCCGCUCGAUUCCGAACGAGUCCAGAGGACAGGUAGUUACGAAGGGUCGCAUAGCCCAUACCGGGUGACCGAUACGUACGAGCGAAUCGCGUGAUCGCACUUGGGCUGGUAUGCAGACGGACCGCAGUGGCGUGUUGCAUUAUUUUAGAGGGAGAGAAAGGGAAAGAACGCGACGUGCACGGGGCGCAGACAAUCGCGAUGGGAAUCCUGACUGUAUGUAGAAUGUACCCUGCGUGUGCCUGUGCACACGAUAUUCCACGGCGGCGGAGGGGAGCGAAUCCGUCGGUCGACCAGGUGGUAAAGCCACCCCAUGAUUUUCUGGCCCGCACGACUCUCUGCCUUCCCUGGGGACGUGAGUGUGUGUACGUGUGUACGUAAUAAAAGCGGGGAGGGAACGAGAGGGAGGGGGAGAAUGAGUCUCGCACUGUAUACUCGUUCAUACUCACGUACCGUACUCGACACGCGAUCGAAUCGCGCGCGUUUGUUAGCAUUAAACUGCCAGAUAAACGCACGCGUCGCCGAGUGCACCCCUCGUCGCCUCCCCCUCCCCCAUGGAUAUGCAUCGUCGCGUUCGCCACGGUAUCGAUGGCGGUUAUCGAUUAUACCAUUUCGUUGCUUACACAGAAAUUAUCGCCUCUCUCGUCCCGUCUCGACCGUCAGGCUACCAAAGCGAAUUUCUUAUUUCACGUGACUUUAUCGCUGCACGCGGCAUUAUUCCCGGAGCAUUCGGCAGACAUUGCCGUUGACGGUUGUUACCUUUGAUAUUUCCCACUGUAAAUAUUAUAAAUCUCUUAGCCUUCGUGUCUCCACGUGUCUUUUCAAUCGAUCCGCAAAGCCGAUAGGAGAGAACGUAUUUUGCUACGCGUAUAAUGCGAGUACGUUGAUACAAAGGAUGAUCAUUAUUCAUAGCGAGCGGCAAAAAUGAAGGACGACACGUGACUCACGCAUCGCCGAAACCCGCGCGUCGGGCGCGUAAUACACGCCGAUUACGUCUAAUCGAUGAUACUGAUAAACGACGUUAAUCGUUUGAUGCUUGUAAUGUGCGCGUACAUUUGUGUGUGUGCGUGUGCGCACGCGGAAAAAGUUGAAACAACGCGAGGUAGCACUUAUUCGAAAGUUACGAGCAGGACACUUUAAAACGCUACUUUUAUCCUAUUAAAUUUUUAUUUAAAUUCGGUUGUCUGGCUCCACCGGUUUAGAUAUACAUAUAUAUAAAGUAUACAUGUGACCUUUCGCAAAUAGGUCCACGAAUAGCGUCUAGAAUCUAUCGCGCUAAAAUCUGCCGGCACUCGAGAAGACCUGGCGCUUAUUUAAGCCUGUUUUUAAAUAUACAUAUUUUUUAAUAUCGUCACGCGUGUGUUGCUCCAAUCGUAUUUAUGUCGUAUUUUACACAGGCGCUGUAUAAAUUCGCGAUGCAACAUUCUAAAUAUAAAUUAAUGCUACUCACUGCUGUUGUUGUUGCAACUGAUGUUUAUAUAGGCGUUAUAAAGCAUCAUAAAAAUAUGAAAUAUAACGUCAUUAAAUGGAGAGACGUUUGAAUGGAAAAUAGCGUCGUAAUACAACCAUGACAUGUAGCAUCUACCACAUAAUCAUGAAAUAACACGGUAAAAUGCAAAAUUAAAGCUGCCUUGAGCAUGAAGAUUAAAACGGCUAUAACUUCGGUAAUUUUAGUUUCCUCGAGUUUUCUCUUGUACUUAUAAGCACACAAAAAUGCAUCUUACGUUCAUUAAUAGAUUUCGCUUAUCAAGAAUUAAUAGAUUCUUGUUUACAUUUCAAGCAUGAAAAUUUCAUACACGAAUAAAACUUCGUGUAUAACAAUCUUAAACAAUAUUACUCGAAAAUCUAAUUGGCACGUAAAAGUUUUUACUGAACAUGAUAUGUGAAAAAUUAAUUCAUAUUUCGAGCGCCCUACAUAAAUGCGUUUGGUCGGACACGUGCGGUCGUAAAUGCAACGUGCGAUUUAUCCAUGAAGUGCAAACAUUCCGCACGGAAUUGCAGACCCGCGGUGCAUAUCGCGUCGCGCAUAAUGCUACAAUUGUAACGAACCGCAAAUGAAAAGUAUUAAUAUCGCGAGACCGUUUUAAUCUUAUUGGGAGGAAAAGCGCCGGACGAGCGAGCUCAUUUCGUCGACCGGCGAAAGUGUCGUUAACCAAAUAUGCGGCGGCGACGGCGGCGGACAUUUUAAUUCUCUGCCAUGCAAUUGAAAAAAACAUGAGGGCGCACGUGGUACAUGCCGAAAUUCAGAGCGAAUUAAAUUAAUUAUGCGCGGAUUAUUCCCCACAUUCUCGGAAACAGUACACCGGGUCUCGUCGGCGCGAGACGGAAAAUGAGAAACGCGGGAAGUAAGAGGAAGCUGGUAUCAGACAUCUAAAUAACAGAGCAAGUAAUUAUAGACAUUGUACGUUUAAGCUGUACGUUAUCUCUCGGAAUCGUUUUGAUUAACUGAAAUUGACGUGUGUUUGGAAAAAAAAAAAAAAAAACAGCUGCUACACAAAUGCAUACAUUCCACGAUUAUUUCUUUUAAGAAGGAGAGACAGAGAAAACAAACUUUUUCAAAAAUUUUAUGUUGUAUAACGUUGAGCAUUAAAUUCAUUAUCGUAUUAUAGAUAACGUGGGUAAAAAGCGUGUAAUUUAGUCGCGGUUCAACCAUGCGAGAACAAGUCGUACGCGCGCACACCUUUGACGAUAAUUUUAGUUACUUGAGGAUUUGGCACUGUCUACACCAAAUAGAAAACCACGGGGGAUCUGCGCGCGAGCAAAAGAAGCGUAAAAGAGAGGCGAGGCGAGGUAGCGGAAAAGGAGAAAGAAGAGAGCGCAAAGAGAAGUUGCAGAGGGUCGCCGGUACGCGCGCGAUAAUCCAUUUGCUCCUUUCGUAGACCAACGGGACAAGGUGUCCUAUUUAUAUCCGCGAGAAACUCGCGCCUAAUGUGUAGACCGGUAUUGUGCAACUUUCAUCGCUUUCCACGAGAUGUUCCACUGUGCCUGAAUCGUGGAGGAGAAAAAACACGAAGGAAAAUAGAGAUAAUAUCAUGUUAUUAGCGAAGUUAACGUAAAAAAAAGAGUAAUGUCGUGAGAGAUGGAAAAACAAAUAAAUUUCUGCUACAACAGUAAAGCUCCUUUUAGAAUGAUUGUAAUAUGGGUUCUACAAUUUCCAUUCUUCUUAAGGGAUUGUUCUAAUAUAAAAAAGGUUUGCCUAUAAAAAAAAAA